CUGGUGUCAGCCGCCCCUUUUAUACCGACACCCCGAGUGGUCGGGACGAUUAUUGGGCCUAAAGCAUCCGUAGCCGGCCUUACAAGUCCUCCGUUAAAUCCAGCUGCUUAACAGAUGGGCUGCGGAGGAUACUAUAAGACUAGGAGGCAGGAGAGGCAAGCGGUACUCAGUGGGUAGGGGUAAAAUCCGUUGAUCCAUUGAAGACCACCAGUGGCGAAGGCGGCUUGCCAGAAUGCGCUCGACGGUGAGGGAUGAAAGCUGGGGGAGCAAACCGGAUUAGAUACCCGGGUAGUCCCAGCUGUAAACGAUGCAGACUCGGUGAUGGACUAGCUUUAUGCUGGUCCAGUGCCGCAGGGAAGCCGUUAAGUCUGCCGCCUGGGUAGUACGGUCGCAAGACUGAAACUUAAAG
This 409-nucleotide ribosomal RNA is filed under the name uncultured Nitrososphaerota archaeon. Its description in RNAcentral is "bacterial SSU rRNA". It matches the Rfam family "Archaeal small subunit ribosomal RNA", at positions 452 to 861 of the family's 1478-position model. Lineage: Archaea; Thermoproteati; Nitrososphaerota. The record is from RNAcentral.